UACGUAGGGGGCAAGCGUUGUCCGGAAUCAUUGGGCGUAAAGCGCGUGUAGGCGGCCCGGUAAGUCCACUGUGAAAGUCCAGGGCUCAACCCUGGAAUGCCGGUGGAUACUGUCGGGCUCGAGUCCGGAAGAGGCGAGUGGAAUUCCUGGUGUAGCGGUGAAAUGCGCAGAUAUCAGGAGGAACACCAAUGGCGAAGGCAGCUCGCUGGGACGGUACUGACGCUGAGACGCGAAAGCGUGGGGAGCAAACAGG
RNAcentral lists this ribosomal RNA (253 nucleotides) under uncultured bacterium. RNAcentral describes it as "partial 16S ribosomal RNA". It matches the Rfam family "Bacterial small subunit ribosomal RNA", at positions 524 to 776 of the family's 1533-position model. The record is from RNAcentral.